UACGUAGGUGGCAAGCGUUAUCCGGAUUUAUUGGGCGUAAAGCGAGCGCAGGCGGUUGCUUAGGUCUGAUGCGAAAGCCUUCGGCUUAACCGAAGAAGUGCAUCGGAAACCGGGCAACUUGAGUGCAGAAGAGGACAGUGGAACUCCAUGUGUAGCGGUGGAAUGCGUAGAUAUAUGGAAGAACACCAGUGGCGAAGGCGGCUGUCUGGUCUGCAACUGACGCUGAGGCUCGAAAGCAUGGGUAGCGAACAGG
RNAcentral lists this ribosomal RNA (253 nucleotides) under uncultured bacterium. RNAcentral's name for it is "partial 16S ribosomal RNA". It matches the Rfam family "Bacterial small subunit ribosomal RNA", at positions 524 to 776 of the family's 1533-position model. The record is from RNAcentral.